UCUCAUCCAAACCAAUUAAUUUGAGGUCUAUGUUUCAAAUUUCUAGCAGGGGAUAGGAUAAGGCUGUUAUGGUAUUUGGUAUUUAAAGUCUAUAUAAAGCCUAUUCCAAAAUAAUUACCUAAAAUCAGUUUAGUGUUUGUAGAUCAAGCAUGUCAAACUAGCAUCCCACAUUAAUAUAUUUGCAGCCCACCUGGCCUGGGGCCACUUUGUGCUGUGGCUGCGACCAGCCGCAAGACAGGAAAGAUAUUUCCUGUCUGAUUCUUGUCUUCCCUCCCAUGGCUGAUCAAGUGCUCCCAUGGCCACAAGAGCGCAGAUUGACUGUCUGUCUGCAGAGCUGGCCAGCCACACCCCCUUCCCUCCUGCUCGCAGUGAUCC
This is a non-coding RNA of Pelobates cultripes (western spadefoot toad), 375 nucleotides long. The record is from the annotation of a GenBank genome assembly. Lineage: Eukaryota; Metazoa; Chordata; Amphibia; Anura; Pelobatidae.